RNAcentral lists this ribosomal RNA (490 nucleotides) under uncultured bacterium. RNAcentral's name for it is "partial 16S ribosomal RNA". It matches the Rfam family "Bacterial small subunit ribosomal RNA", at positions 30 to 507 of the family's 1533-position model. The record is from RNAcentral.
AUUGAACGCUGGCGGCAGGCCUAACACAUGCAAGUCGAACGGUAACAGGAAGAAGCUUGCUUCUUUGCUGACGAGUGGCGGACGGGUGAGUAAUGUCUGGGAAACUGCCUGAUGGAGGGGGAUAACUACUGGAAACGGUAGCUAAUACCGCAUAACGUCGCAAGACCAAAAAGGGGGACCUUCGGGCCUCUUGCCAUCGGAUGUGCCCAGAUGGGAUUAGCUAGUAGGUGGGGUAACGGCUCACCUAGGCGACGAUCCCUAGCUGGUCUGAGAGGAUGACCAGCCACACUGGAACUGAGACACGGUCCAGACUCCUACGGGAGGCAGCAGUGGGGAAUAUUGGACAAUGGGCGCAAGCCUGAUGCAGCCAUGCCGCGUGUAUGAAGAAGGCCUUCGGGUUGUAAAGUACUUUCAGCGGGGAGGAAGGGAGUAAAGUUAAUACCUUGGCUCAUUGACGUUACCCGCAGAAGAAGCACCGGCUAACUCCGUG